This 433-nucleotide ribosomal RNA is filed under the name uncultured bacterium. RNAcentral's name for it is "partial 16S ribosomal RNA". It matches the Rfam family "Bacterial small subunit ribosomal RNA", at positions 29 to 507 of the family's 1533-position model. The record is from RNAcentral.
AACGAACGCUGGCGGCAUGCCUAACACAUGCAAGUCGAACGAUGCCUUCGGGCAUAGUGGCGCACGGGUGCGUAACGCGUGGGAAUCUGCCUUUCGGUUCGGAAUAACUCAGGGAAACUUGAGCUAAUACCGGAUAACGUCGCAAGACCAAAGAUUUAUCACCGAAAGAUGAGCCCGCGUAGGAUUAGCUAGUUGGUGAGGUAAAGGCUCACCAAGGCGACGAUCCUUAGCUGGUCUGAGAGGAUGAUCAGCCACACUGGGACUGAGACACGGCCCAGACUCCUACAGGAGGCAGCAGUGGGGAAUAUUGGACAAUGGGCGAAAGCCUGAUCCAGCAAUGCCGCGUGAGUGAUGAAGGCCUUAGGGUUGUAAAGCUCUUUUACCCGGGAAGAUAAUGACGGUACCGGGAGAAUAAGCCCCGGCUAACUCCGUG